CUCAUUUUCUAGUGGGAUGAGUUUUCGCAGGAGGGUAGGACGAUUAGGCACGUACCCUCCAAAGGGGUACUGCCCAAAAUUUAUAGCAGCAUGCUGCCCUGAUGCAAUCCAGAUUAUUGUUGUAAGUAUGCCAGAUAAAUCUUCUUUGGUAUUGAGUUUAGGCCACCAUGGCUCGUUCCUCUUGUCAAAAUGACCUUUAUUUUUUAUCUCAUCCCACCAGGUUUGGAGCUCAAUAUCAGACUUGACAAAGUUAGGCUCAGAGUAGAAGUGAUCAACAUAAGAUUCUACAUAUUCUUUUAU
RNAcentral lists this long non-coding RNA (300 nucleotides) under Populus trichocarpa (black cottonwood). RNAcentral's name for it is "long non-coding RNA (PTRI_LNC002465)". Lineage: Eukaryota; Viridiplantae; Streptophyta; Magnoliopsida; Malpighiales; Salicaceae. The record is from RNAcentral.